This 74-nucleotide transfer RNA is filed under the name Gemmatimonadota bacterium. RNAcentral describes it as "Gemmatimonadetes bacterium (activated sludge metagenome) tRNA-His". It matches the Rfam family "tRNA". From Rfam's summary of the family: Transfer RNA (tRNA) molecules are approximately 80 nucleotides in length. Their secondary structure includes four short double-helical elements and three loops (D, anti-codon, and T loops). Further hydrogen bonds mediate the characteristic L-shaped molecular structure. tRNAs have two regions of fundamental functional importance: the anti-codon, which is responsible for specific mRNA codon recognition, and the 3' end, to which the tRNAs corresponding amino acid is attached (by aminoacyl-tRNA synthetases). tRNAs cope with the degeneracy of the genetic code in two manners: having more than one tRNA (with a specific anti-codon) for a particular amino acid; and 'wobble' base-pairing, i.e. permitting non-standard base-pairing at the 3rd anti-codon position. The record is from RNAcentral. Lineage: Bacteria; Pseudomonadati; Gemmatimonadota.
CAGGUGCGUAGCUCAACAGGUCAGAGCGCGGGAAUGUGGCCCCCGAGGCGGCGGUUCGAGCCUGCCCCACCUGA